CCUACGGGAGGCAGCAGUGGGGAAUCUUGCGCAAUGGCCUAACGGCUGACGCAGCGACGCCGCGUGUGGGAUGAAGCUCUUCGGAGUGUAAACCACUGUUGCCCGGGACGAAUAGCUCGAUUAAUCGAGCCUGACGGUACCGGGUGAGGAAGCACCGGCUAACUCCGUGCCAGCAGCCGCGGUAAUACGGGGGGUGCGAGCGUUGUCCGGAAUCACUGGGCGUAAAGGGCGCGUAGGUGGUUUGAUAAGGGUGUGGUGAAAGCCCGGAGCUCAACUCCGGGUCUGCCGUGCCGACUGUCAAACUCGAGGACUGUAGAGGCAGACGGAAUUCCGGGUGUAGCGGUGGAAUGCGUAGAGAUCCGGAGGAAGACCGGUGGCGAAGGCGGUCUGCUGGGCAGUUUCUGACACUGAGGCGCGACAGCGUGGGGAGCAAACAGGAUUAGAUACCCUGGUAGUCCACGCCGUAAACGAUGGGUACUAGGUACCUGGGGGAGCGACCCUCUGGGUGCCGGCGCUAACGCAGGAAGUACCCCGCCUGGGGAGUACGACCGCAAGGUUGAAACUCAAAGGAAUUGACGGGGGCCCGCACAAGCGGCGGAGCAUGCGGAUUAAUUCGAUGCAACGCGAAGAACCUUACCUGGGUUUGACAUAUGCCGGAAAGCUGCACAGAUGUAGCCCCCGCAAGGUCGGUAUACAGGUGGUGCAUGGCUGUCGUCACCUCGUGUCGUGAGAUGUUGGGUUAAGUCCCCCAACGAGCGCAACCCUUGUCCUAUGUGCCAGCGGGUCUGGCGGGGACUCCUAAGGAGACUGGCGGCGGUCCACUGAGAGGAAGGUAGG
Molecule: ribosomal RNA, 837 nt
Filed under: uncultured bacterium
Lineage: Bacteria
Description: bacterial SSU rRNA
Rfam family: Bacterial small subunit ribosomal RNA
Source: RNAcentral